RNAcentral lists this long non-coding RNA (294 nucleotides) under Triticum aestivum (bread wheat). Its description in RNAcentral is "long non-coding RNA (TAES_LNC003935)". The record is from RNAcentral. Lineage: Eukaryota; Viridiplantae; Streptophyta; Magnoliopsida; Poales; Poaceae.
GUUUCUUCUCAACACUGGCCGAGACAGCUUCGGGUUUCUUCUCAAUACCGGCGGUGUAUCCGCCGGUAGCUUCAGAUUUCUUCACUCCACCGCCAUAGUCAAGAUCGCCAUGGGCCAAUGCUAGGGGGCUGGUGGAGGCAACAACGAGGAAGAGUAGAAGGGCUAGAGCGAGCUGGGCCCUCAUGAUAAUCAAUCAACCCGACGAACAGUGGUGGUGCGAUGAAAUGUCUGCAGGAGGAACUCGGGAGGUAUUUCAAUGGUGAGGGAGAGGGAGCUAGGGAAGGAGAAGAGAGA